UACGGAGGGUGCAAGCGUUAUCCGGAAUUACUGGGCGUAAAGGGUGCGUAGGUGGUUUCUUAAGUCAGAGGUGAAAGGCUACGGCUCAACCGUAGUAAGCCUUUGAAACUGGGAAACUUGAGUGCAGGAGAGGAGAGUGGAAUUCCUAGUGUAGCGGUGAAAUGCGUAGAUAUUAGGAGGAACACCAGUUGCGAAGGCGGCUCUCUGGACUGUAACUGACACUGAGGCACGAAAGCGUGGGGAGCAAACAGGAUUAGAUACCCCUGUAGUCCCUGA
This 276-nucleotide ribosomal RNA is filed under the name uncultured prokaryote. RNAcentral describes it as "partial 16S ribosomal RNA". It matches the Rfam family "Bacterial small subunit ribosomal RNA", at positions 524 to 800 of the family's 1533-position model. The record is from RNAcentral.